This 72-nucleotide transfer RNA is filed under the name Ovis aries (sheep). It matches the Rfam family "tRNA". From Rfam's summary of the family: Transfer RNA (tRNA) molecules are approximately 80 nucleotides in length. Their secondary structure includes four short double-helical elements and three loops (D, anti-codon, and T loops). Further hydrogen bonds mediate the characteristic L-shaped molecular structure. tRNAs have two regions of fundamental functional importance: the anti-codon, which is responsible for specific mRNA codon recognition, and the 3' end, to which the tRNAs corresponding amino acid is attached (by aminoacyl-tRNA synthetases). tRNAs cope with the degeneracy of the genetic code in two manners: having more than one tRNA (with a specific anti-codon) for a particular amino acid; and 'wobble' base-pairing, i.e. permitting non-standard base-pairing at the 3rd anti-codon position. The record is from Rfam by way of RNAcentral. Lineage: Eukaryota; Metazoa; Chordata; Mammalia; Artiodactyla; Bovidae.
UCCCUCUUAGCUCAUUCGGUAAAGAAUCUGCCUGCAGCGCAGGAGACCCAGGUUCGAUCCCUGGGUCGGGAA